GCGGAAGUGGCGAAAUUGGCAGACGCACCAUCUUGAGAGGUGGCGCCCAUUGGGUGUACGGGUUCAAGUCCGUCUUCCGCACCA
This 84-nucleotide transfer RNA is filed under the name Ignavibacteria bacterium. RNAcentral describes it as "tRNA-OTHER". It matches the Rfam family "tRNA". Rfam says of the family: Transfer RNA (tRNA) molecules are approximately 80 nucleotides in length. Their secondary structure includes four short double-helical elements and three loops (D, anti-codon, and T loops). Further hydrogen bonds mediate the characteristic L-shaped molecular structure. tRNAs have two regions of fundamental functional importance: the anti-codon, which is responsible for specific mRNA codon recognition, and the 3' end, to which the tRNAs corresponding amino acid is attached (by aminoacyl-tRNA synthetases). tRNAs cope with the degeneracy of the genetic code in two manners: having more than one tRNA (with a specific anti-codon) for a particular amino acid; and 'wobble' base-pairing, i.e. permitting non-standard base-pairing at the 3rd anti-codon position. Lineage: Bacteria; Pseudomonadati; Ignavibacteriota; Ignavibacteria. The record is from RNAcentral.